ACGGAGGGGGCAAGCGUUAAUCGGAAUUACUGGGCGUAAAGCGUGCGUAGGCUGUGUAGCAAGCCAGAUGUGAAAGCCCUCGGCUCAACCGGGGAACUGCGUUGGGAACUGCUUGACUUGGGUCCAGGAGAGGGCGGCGGAGUUCCGAGUGUAGCGGUGAAAUGCGUAGAUAUCAGGAGGAACACCGGUGGCGAAGGCGGCCUCCUGGAUCGUUACUGACGCUGAGGUACGAAAGCGUGGGGAGCAAACAG
Molecule: ribosomal RNA, 251 nt
Filed under: uncultured prokaryote
Description: partial 16S rRNA
Rfam family: Bacterial small subunit ribosomal RNA
Source: RNAcentral